CUACUCUGUCGUGGGGAUAACGUAGGGAAACUUACGCUAAUACCGCAUACGACCUACGGGUGAAAGCAGGGGAUCUUCGGACCUUGCGCGAUUGAAUGAGCCGAUGUCGGAUUAGCUAGUUGGCGGGGUAAAGGCCCACCAAGGCGACGAUCCGUAGCUGGUCUGAGAGGAUGAUCAGCCACACUGGAACUGAGACACGGUCCAGACUCCUACGGGAGGCAGCAGUGGGGAAUAUUGGACAAUGGGCGCAAGCCUGAUCCAGCCAUACCGCGUGGGUGAAGAAGGCCUUCGGGUUAUAAAGCCCUUUUGUUGGGAAAGAAAUCCAACUGGUUAAUACCCGGUUGGGAUGACGGUACCCAAAGAAUAAGCACCGGCUAACUUCGUGCCAGCAGCCGCGGUAAUACGAAGGGUGCAAGCGUUACUCGGAAUUACUGGGCGUAAAGCGUGCGUAGGUGGUUAUUUAAGUCCGUUGUGAAAGCCCUGGGCUCAACCUGGGAACUGCAGUGGAUACUGGAUGACUAGAAUGUGGUAGAGGGUAGCGGAAUUCCUGGUGUAGCAGUGAAAUGCGUAGAGAUCAGGAGGACAUCCAUGGCGAAGGCAGCUACCUGGACCAA
Molecule: ribosomal RNA, 614 nt
Filed under: uncultured Pseudomonadota bacterium
Lineage: Bacteria; Pseudomonadati; Pseudomonadota
Description: bacterial SSU rRNA
Rfam family: Bacterial small subunit ribosomal RNA
Source: RNAcentral